UCAGUCGACUCCUACGGGGAGGCAGCAGUAGGGAAUCUUCCACAAUGGGCGCAAGCCUGAUGGAGCAACACCGCGUGAGUGAAGAAGGGUUUCGGCUCGUAAAGCUCUGUUGUUAAAGAAGAACACGUAUGAGAGUAACUGUUCAUACGUUGACGGUAUUUAACCAGAAAGUCACGGCUAACUACGUGCCAGCAGCCGCGGUAAUACGUAGGUGGCAAGCGUUAUCCGGAUUUAUUGGACGUAAAGAGAGUGCAGGCGGUUUUCUUAAGUCUGAUGUGAAAGCCUUCGGCUUAACCGGAGAAGUGCAUCGGAAACUGGAUAACUUGAGUGCAGAAGAGGGUAGUGGAACUCCAUGUGUAGCGGUGGAAUGCGUAGAUAUAUGGAAGAACACCAGUGGCGAAGGCGGCUACCUGGUCUGCAACUGACGCUGAGACUCGAAAGCAUGGGUAGCGAACAGGAUUAGAUACCCUGGUAG
RNAcentral lists this ribosomal RNA (475 nucleotides) under uncultured bacterium. RNAcentral describes it as "bacterial SSU rRNA". It matches the Rfam family "Bacterial small subunit ribosomal RNA", at positions 328 to 793 of the family's 1533-position model. The record is from RNAcentral.